GUAAGCACUGGGUAAGCAAACGAAGCGACUCAACAUCUAUUACAAAUAUCAAAAUCAGACAACCUUCCAUCCGUUGACGGACUCAUAAUCUGUUUGCCCCAGGUUCGAGUCCUGGUGGGCCCA
RNAcentral lists this transfer RNA (123 nucleotides) under Gammaproteobacteria bacterium. Its description in RNAcentral is "tRNA-Met". The record is from RNAcentral. Lineage: Bacteria; Pseudomonadati; Pseudomonadota; Gammaproteobacteria.